UGUUACAUAGGUAUACAUGUGCCAGGGUGGUGGUUUGCUGCAUCCAUCACCCUGUCAUCUGCAUUAGGUAUUUCUCCUAAUGCUAUCCCUCCCCGAUCCCCCAUUCCCUGCUAUUUUUCUCAUAGCCCCGCCUCCCCCCCCCCCCCCCCCCCCCCCAACCAGGCUCUGGUGUGUGAUGUUCCCUUUCAUUGAUAUCUUUUAUCAACUAUUUUUUCUGUCCCCUUUCUGUCUCCUCUCCCUGGAGACUCAAAUUACUUGUAUAAUUGGCCAUUUGAAGUUGUCCUACAGAUCCCUGUUGUAUUCUUCUCCCGUUUUUUUUUGAAGUUCCUGUUUGUCGCUCUGUUCCAUUUUGAAACACAGUUCACCAAUCUUUUCUUCAAUGUCUAAUCUGCCAUUAAUCCCAUUCACUGUUUUCUUCAUCUCAGACAUUGUGGUUUUCAAUCUCUAGAAGUCCGUUUCAGAUCUUUGUUAAGUCUUCCAAGUCUCUGCUUAUCUUGUGGAACAUACCAAAUACAGGGAUAAUGACUUUUUUGAGUUCUUGUCUGCUGAUUCUAGCAUCUAUUUGAUUAUUUUCUACUUCUAAAGUGAGGCCUCUCCUAGUCCUCUACCCAAGACCGUGAAUUGUGAGUUUUUUCGGUGGGUCUGCUAAGGACAGGCACUAUGCCAAGCCUUUCAUCUUUUUAGAGGGCUCUUUAACUGGUAGUUUCUUCAGUCACAUGCAUUGAUCAACACCGAAUACUCAAGAGGGACGUCUCCAGAUCUCUGGAGUUCUCUCUCUGCAGCCCCUUCCUCUUUGCUGCACUUUCCGGUGAAUUCUAAUGGCCCCACACUGUCAGCUGAGGGAGUAUACUGGGUCCUGCCUGGUGUCCAGCUCCGUGUGCUGUGGCCCAGAAACUUUCAGGCCAUGAGCUGCUUUCAGGCAGGAGGGCUGUCCAUCUAGACCACAGGCAGAAGUCUACAGCUCUUGAUGAUAUUUCCUAUCCCUGAUUCUUUUUUCACGGUGCCUUCUAUUUAUCCAGAGGAAUUCCAGCACCAGUGAUGGUAUGUGAACCUUUAGUGGCACCACAUCAACAGAGGCAUCAGCUUCAAAUGGCUGAAAUAAACAGAGCAUAAAUAAAUAAAUCUGGGAAAUACAGCCCAGAUUCAUUGGCCAUGCUUUCCAGGUCUUCCAUAAACCAUGCUGUUCUUUUUCCUCUAAUUCCCUUCAUAAUCUUUAUUUCUGUUCCUACAGAUUUGAUAACUGGAUACAGAAAUUCCUGGUCCUGGGGCUUGAAGAGUAAAGGGGCAGGAGUGGGAGCAUGGGAAGGGGCAGUGCUCUGUUUAUUUCAGCCAUUUGAAGCUGAUAUGUCUGUCCUGGUGUUGAUAAGGGGCUCCAUCACACAUAUACCCUUCCUCUGUCGUUGGGGAAGGUACCCUGGACAAGGAGCUCAGAGGUGGCUCCUGGUGUUGCAGUGGGAAGGAGACCUCUGGACCAGGAUGUGCUGUGGGGCGUCAACUACCAGCCUUGUGGUCUCAGGAAAGUGACCCAUCAAGGGGCACACAAUAGGGACACCACCUUGAAAUCUGAAGUCACUGAGUAGCAGGGGAAAUUGGAGCCUGGGGCGCCCAUUGGCCUGCCCUUGGGUUUUAUUUAACUGUGGCCUCCCGGGAUGUUAUACACCCUGGCUUCCUUAGAAGGUGAGGCCUGUACCCAGUAGGCAGACUGGACUUCUUCCUAAGUGAAAUAUAGUUAUGUAAUGGUUAGCUCAUUGGUGUUUAACUUUCUGACCAAAGUGAUGAUCCAAAGUUUGAAUAGAGAAAUAAAUCCCCAGUGAAGGAGGAGGGAGGGGCCGUGUGCAUGCUCCCACUGUUUCUCCCAAGCCUGUUCUCCACCCUGCCUGCCCUGCCAGGCAAAGCCCCUACCCUUUGUCGACUCUACUUCUUAGGAACCUGACAACACAGGGAAUUUUCCUGACAAGUGAGUGUCAUUUUAUGGGUUAUUGCUGUUUUCCCAGAGUAGCCAAUUAGUAGUGAGGGAGUGUCACAUGCUCUUCUCCACGUUCAGCGCUUUCCUGAGUGUGCUCAUCAGGUUUAAGGAGCCAGCUGUCCCACCUGCUUGGCUGUACAGCCCUGCAGGCUGGGAUCUUGGCAGAUUCACACCCACUGAGGAGCGUGCUUGGGUUCAGUCGUGGUUGAGAUGGGGUUCUUCCAGUGCAGCCCCAAAAUACUUUAAGAGAUGCAGAGGAAGCACAGCAUCCUGAGUGAAUAUCCCCUUGAUCCCAGAAAGGCUGGAGGGAAGCAGCGCUGCUAUUACUUAGUUGGAGGCACCAAGAGCGUGGCUCCCUUUAUUCUAAUGGCAUUCAAGGGCAUCAGCCGUUUUGACCCCCAGAAAGCCAUUUUUCCCAUGCUGAGUAGUCUCAUGGCGUUGUUUGCCACCACAGUGCUGCGUAGCCCUACCAUAUGGACUGACUGAUGGAGGGGUGACCACGGCGUCAGCUGCUAACGUGGAAGGACUUGAUUAUGCAAGAGCUGGGUUUCCAUGGAAGUCAAACACCCUGCUCCUUUACCUCCCCAUAACAGCUGUCCCCAUGACAGCCUCCUGACCAUAACAAGCCAGCCUUGCUAUUUUGGAAAGGAGUCAAGGCUGUGGAGGUCCGAUCUGGACAGUAUUUAUCUCCUAUGUGACCCGGGUGAGUUGCCCACCCUCACAGAGCUCUUUUCACCAAGUUCACAUGAGACUCAAAUGGGGUGCAGUGUUUUUAACCCCUUCUGUGCUUUAGAAUCACCUAGAAGAAUUGAAACAGAGAAAUACCAGUGUCCCGAUGCCACCCUCAGGAAUUUGGAUGUAAUUCCCCUGCUAGGCCUCAGGUAGCCCCUGAGGUGUUGAGGUGAUUCUGAUGUGCAGCCAGGGUUGAGAAGGACCGAGGUGGAUGUCACAAGAGCGCUCUGGUAAAUUUCAUUUGGGGUGGCUGUCAUUUGAUUCUCCACUCACUUUGGCAGUGUCUAUUAAUUUUAACCUUUUAAAAGUAAAGUUAUUUAUGACUUUUUGUUUUUCUUAACAUUGUUUCCAACAACCACCCCAGGUUAUUUAGCAACAAUUAGCCAUGGUAGUUCACAGUCCUGAACCCAAACACCCCUAGAUCUUCAGCAUCGCCCAGGGCUUCCAGUGACUUCAUGGAAUGUCAUCAUAGUCUGUCCUUUGGAGAGCGGGCUUUUCUGGGGUGCCGUGAGGAUCUGGGCUGAGAUUCUCCAGGGCGGUCAUUGCUUCCUGGUUGGAAAAGCCCUAGGUGCCAGAUGCAAGAAGAGAAAGAGUGAAAAUAACCACCUUGCCCAUCAAAACCGUCUCAAAAUCAGAGAACUGGGUGUCUGUAAGAAAUCACAGGUUUCUGUGUGGAGAAUAACUCAAAAAGUUUCACCGUGACAAGUGCAGAAAUUAUAUUUAAAUGAGUACAGGAGAAAAUUUUGCACAAACUGUAUUAGCUGAAGAAGGUUCUAUACAAUGGGCUGUAGUUGAAUUAAGGGUGAAUUCUGUGUUGCUGCCAAUGCCCUCCCCACUCUGGGGCUGUUGCUUCUCUUGAGCCCAGCAUUCCUGUUCGUUCCACCUGAGGACGGCAGCAUGUGGGAAGGUGGGAGAGACUUAAACACACCUAAGGGCAGGUGUAUAGCGGAAGGACUUGGACCCUUUGAGGGUCCGAGAUAGGUUUUGCAAUGAGAACAUAAUAACGCAGGUUUAACCAAAAGAAUGUGAUCUUUGAAGACACCGUUUGAUUGUAAGCGUGGUUGUGGUAUUUUGUAAACAGAAUAGCUUUUCUAGGAAACUCUAAAAUGUGCCUAUAUGAUGCUUCAGGUUGAUAGAUUUAUGAAGUAGUGGUUCUGAGUAUAAUCUGGGAAAGAGGCUGAGGAGGUCUAGUCAUCUUCAUUUUCUGAAGAGACAACUGAGAUUUAGUUUAAAUAGUGGUCACAUAGCUAGGAAUUUGGUAGUUCAAGGACAAGACUUGCGGUCUUAAAACUCAUUUUGGUACGUUUCAUGUUUUAUAAUUUUUCACAGUAUUUUUACUUUUUAAAUUGAGUUUUCCUUUUGAAAUGAAAAAUGAGAAAACUCAAAAUUUUGGAGAGAAAAAAUUGCUCUUUGCCUAAUAAUGAAAAUGUGUGCACCUUUGCGUUCAUGUAGUUCUUUAGAACCAGUAAGGCCUUUCCCUGAAAAAGGCGUCCUGAAUAUUCAGGGUCCAAACAUUGAUCACUGAAGGGUAGGAGGGAAGGUAAAGCAAGCUACACAAAGGGAAAACUGCCUGUAGCCUUCAAAUGUGCUCUUCCUGGCCCUCCCCGCUUUUGUUAGCAGAUAUCAGUGACGUGUUAAUAUUAGGCUGUUUUGCUGUGACUGUAAUGGUAAAUUUUAAUAGAAAUUCAGUUAGCAGUUUCUGAAUCUGAAAGACAGUGGCAUUGGUUGUGAAUGCUCACAACAGUGUGUGCUGUUGAAAAGUUCAACUCAAUUUUUAUUUGCUGUUUCACAGGAAACAAUCAUCCCUCAUAUUUUAUAGUACUAUCUGGGUUACAAAAAUACUGAUGAGUCUUUGUUGGACAAGCCGUAAUCUCAGGAAGGAGGGGAGGUAAGCUUGAUCUCAGUGGCUUCUGCUCUGAAUUAGAAUAUUCAGCAGGCAGCCUUUUCCAUAGGCGCUGGUCCCAUCUCAGUGUAGCAGGGACGGUAAUGCCUUUCCCUGCAUAGUUGAGGAGCUUUUGAAUGCCCUUUUGGAAGCUAUAGAAAUCUAUGAUAUUCAUUGUCGUCUUUCGACCAUGAACUUAAACUCCUAUCACACCUCUAGGUGUGAUAAUAUUUCUCCUGUUAUAGCGGAGUAAUGUCACACUUGGCACUCUUACUGUCCUCUUCCGAGAAUACCACCCAAGUGCUUUCUGAGAGUGUUAACUGCUGUUUGGCUCAUUUUUCUGCGCCAAGGAGAACAGAAACACAGCAGGCACCAAGAGGAGGUUUAGCAUGCAGUGGGUUGUUCGCAAAGGCCAUGAGUAAAUGAGAUAUUCCCUGACUCCUGCUAUUGCUACAUGAGGUCGUUGAAGCCAGGCCUAGGUACCAUUUCUUUCAUCCCUUGCUAGUUCCUAAUCGUGGUCACAAACCUUCCACAUCCAUCCAGGCCAAUAGCAGUGCUUGUGGAAAGCAGUGUCACUAAAGAAAACAGGACAGGGCAUCAGUUGUGUUCAGAGUUUUGAUUGGCAUCUGAUUGGAAUUAGGAGAAUUAUUUUGCCAUAACCUAGGUGUCGUGACCCAGGCUUUUUUGGUGGACCUUGACACCACAACUGUAUGCUUGCUGGAAAGGAAAGGAAAGGGAGAGUCACAGUCACUGAGACAGUCAAGGCUGAGGCCCACCUGCUGGUGUUUUAUAGGAACUGGCACGGGGAGGCUUGUGUGUCCUUUGUUUUCCGAGAGGCCUUGUUCCACAUUGCCUCCCACUUGAGGCCAGGAAUAUUGCAGCAGUGCCAAAGAGUGGGUGGAAAAAUGGCCUUAUUAUUAACCUAAGUUGGAAACAUAUGGCUUUCUGAGUGUCUUCAUUCAUAGAUGCAGUCACAAAAUAUUAAUACUCUUUCUUGAACAUGGCAAAACAAAGUCUUCAUUUAACCUCCGUUGUCCACGUCCAUGGUGAAACAGCACCUCGUGCUGGGGGAAAAAAAAAACUGGUUCCUUGAGAAUUAUUUUAUCCUUUGCAUUUGCAUAUAGUUUGAAUUCAUAAUUAGGCUAUUUUUAUUGGCUAGCAGCUGUAUUAUCAUAUAAAUCCCUGAAUGUGUAAUUUGGAGUCAUUUAGACCAGUCGUCCCACAGUAACCCUGGGAAGCACAUGAGCAGUGUCAGCGUCUUUGGAGGAAGAAAAGGAAGACGGGAGUAACUUGCUGCAGGCAGCUUAGCUCCUACUGUAGUGGAUUGGGUUUUUACACUAAAGAACAUAGAUACCUGUUCAAUAAUAACUUACUUUUGCAUGAAAUUCAUCUAUUAACAGGGUGCUUUGAGGCUAGGUGUGGUGGUUCACAACUAUAAUUGCAGCACUUUGGGAGGCCAAGGAUAGAGGAUCACUUAAGCCCAGGAAUUCAAGACAAGCCUGGGCAAUAUAGCAAGACCCCCA
This is a long non-coding RNA of Sapajus apella (tufted capuchin), 6103 nucleotides long. RefSeq lists it as uncharacterized. The transcript is spliced from 2 exons. Lineage: Eukaryota; Metazoa; Chordata; Mammalia; Primates; Cebidae. The record is from RefSeq and is a predicted model, not a curated record.